RNAcentral lists this ribosomal RNA (253 nucleotides) under uncultured bacterium. RNAcentral's name for it is "partial 16S ribosomal RNA". It matches the Rfam family "Bacterial small subunit ribosomal RNA", at positions 524 to 776 of the family's 1533-position model. The record is from RNAcentral.
UACGUAGGUGGCAAGCGUUGUCCGGAUUUAUUGGGUUUAAAGGGUGCGUAGGCGGCCUUGUAAGUCAGUGGUGAAAUACUCCAGCUUAACUGGAGGGGUGCCAUUGAUACUGCAGGGCUUGAGUACAGAUGAAGUAGGCGGAAUUGACGGUGUAGCGGUGAAAUGCGCAGAUAUCAGGAGGAACACCGGUGGCGAAGGCGGGACUCUGGGCCGAUACUGACGCUGAGGAGCGAAAGCGUGGGGAGCAAACAGG